AUUGAACGCUGGCGGCAGGCCUAACACAUGCAAGUCGAACGGCAGCGGGGGAUAGCUUGCUAUCCUGCCGGCGAGUGGCGGACGGGUGAGUAAUGCAUGGGGAGCUGCCCAAUCGAGGGGGAUAACAACUGGAAACGGUUGCUAAUACCGAAUACGCCCUGCGGGGGAAAGGUGGGGACCUUCGGGCCUACCGCGAUUGGAUGCACCCAUGUGGGAUUAGCUAGUUGGUGAGGUAACGGCUCACCAAGGCGACGAUCUCUAGCUGGUCUGAGAGGAGGACCAGCCACACUGGAACUGGUACACGGUCCAGACUCCUACGGGAGGCAGCAGUGGGGAAUAUUGCACAAUGGGGGAAACCCUGAUGCAGCCAUGCCGCGUGUGUGAAGAAGGCCUUCGGGUUGUAAAGCACUUUCAGUGGGGAGGAAGGGCUGAUGACUAAUAUUCAUCAGCAUUGACGUUACCCACAGAAGAAGCACCGGCUAACUCCGUGCCAGCAGCCGCAGUAA
This 506-nucleotide ribosomal RNA is filed under the name uncultured bacterium. Its description in RNAcentral is "partial 16S ribosomal RNA". It matches the Rfam family "Bacterial small subunit ribosomal RNA", at positions 29 to 523 of the family's 1533-position model. The record is from RNAcentral.